RNAcentral lists this long non-coding RNA (1831 nucleotides) under Monodelphis domestica (gray short-tailed opossum). Its description in RNAcentral is "lncRNA (ENSMODG00000038962.1)". Lineage: Eukaryota; Metazoa; Chordata; Mammalia; Didelphimorphia; Didelphidae. The record is from RNAcentral.
AUGAUGAAGAGCCAGAAGGCCGGAGGAAAAGUUCCUGGCUGGGUGGAGGUGGGCUGCAGCACCGCACGAUGCCCGGCGGCCGGAGACCCCCCGACCCUGCUGGAGCCCCCGGCCUACCCCCCCGUCCGGGUCAUCCACGCCAGGGUGUCCUCGAGCAGCGCCUCGGACGUCUCCUCCAUCAGCUCCGAGCUGGAGCAAAAGUACUGGGAGGCCCUGAACGCCGAGCAGGUAGGCUCUGACGGGGUGGCCAGAUUCGAACCCGGGUCCUCCUGGGUCCUCGUUCUAGAGGGGAGCAGACGGGCUUUUGUCCCUUCUUGGAGCGGCCGGGAGGGAAGGCCUGAGGAGGGCCGGCCGGGGUUCCAGUGCCGUAGGGGGAGGACGUGCCCCAGGAGCCGUGUCUUCUGUUGGCAGUGGGACCCUGAAGACCCCCCUCCAGCCCGGAGCAGAGCCCCCCCGGCCGGGCCCCAGGGACGUCGUCCCACUUCUCGCUGCUCAGAGGCCAGAGAGGCAGCCAACGGGUCCGAAGCUCCCUGAUGGAGGACCCUGCAGAGCCCAGGACGGCCUCCAAACGGGCCUCCCUAAGAACGGGCCUCCGAAGGCCUCAACGGCCAGCUCCGGCCCCUCCUCACGCUCCGGUUUUUCCUUUCCUGUCUUCACUGAAGGCCGUCCUUGGCAGGACGUCCCAGGUUCCAGGCUGGCCUCAGACACUCCCUCUCGGCGUGACCCUGGGCGAGUCCCUUCACCCCCUGGCGCAGCUCUUUCCACUCUUCUGCCUUGAAGGGGAGGGUGAGAAGCUCCUGCCCUGAGGACUUUGUACAGCUGGGAGAGCUGAGAUUGGGAGGGGGCUUGUCCUGCCUCUGCCCAGCCCCUCCGCCUGCUCCCUCCCCUUCACUCGGCCAGCCGCCAGCUUGGGGGAACCAAGGCAGAAGGAGGAGCUGGAUUCGAACGGGGAACCAGCAGUCAGAGGCCACUUUUCACGGCUGUCGCCGUGUCUCCCCCGAGGCCCCCCAGACAUCUGGAGUUGCUGCUCGGAAGGCCUCUGUGGGAGCGAGGCCAUUGUGAGCCCCCUCCAGGCAGGGCCGGGUGCUGAGAGCCCCCUAAUGAAGUGCGAAGGCAGCCUCCCGCCUGCCCUGGGGGAAACUGAGGCUCAGACGACCAGCGCCAAUGGAGCAGCCUCUCAGCAACAUGACCGUGGACUAGAGCGUCCUACCCCUUGUCCGGCCUGCUCCAGCCUUAACUGCCCAGCCAGAGGCCCUCACUAGACACAGCGCAGGUGCCCCACCUCCACGUUUUAGUGGGGAAGAGUGUCCUGGAGGAGGGGCUGCAUGGAGGGCUCCCCUGGACCUCCCACUUCAGCAGCCCCCUGGCGCGGAGGACAGAUGCUGCCUCGGCUGCACUCACUCUCCAGCUGCCUUGGCUGCACUCGCUCUCUCCCUUCAUCCGCGAGGCAGCCCUGUGUACUCACUUUCUAACUCGUUUUCAAAUGUUCCAGAGAGUUUCAGCGGACUUUGAGGGGGGCCAGAAAGCCCAUUUUCUUCUAAAAACGCAUUUGCAGGGACACUUCUGCAUAGUUGGUGGACUGGAUUCAGAAAGGAGGCUGGGCCAGGAGCUCAAGCAUCGAGCGAGGCUUCCCUUUGGGUCUCUUCCGCAGCCCUGAACACAAUGGAAGCCGUCCCUGAACCGCUGGGUCUCGGCAGGGUUCGACCAAGGCGUCGUCCUGGUCCUCCCCACAUGCCGCAAGUCAUCCUUUCUGUUGGGGCCCUUUUAGGGAGAGCCAAAACGCCUCCAUGCCAUGAAUAAAUGCCAUUUUUCAGAGUGCUUCCUCUUCUUC